Molecule: ribosomal RNA, 632 nt
Filed under: uncultured bacterium
Lineage: Bacteria
Description: bacterial SSU rRNA
Rfam family: Bacterial small subunit ribosomal RNA
Source: RNAcentral
AACAACCUGCCUUCAGGAUGGGGACAACAGACGGAAACGACUGCUAAUACCGAAUGUGUUCCGGAGACCGCAUGAUUUCCGGAAGAAAGGAUGGCCUCUAUUUAUAAGCUAUCGCCUGAAGAGGGGUUUGCGUCUGAUUAGGCAGUUGGUGAGGUAACGGCCCACCAAACCUACGAUCAGUAGCCGGUCUGAGAGGAUGAACGGCCACACUGGAACUGAGACACGGUCCAGACUCCUACGGGAGGCAGCAGUGGGGAAUCUUCCGCAAUGGACGAAAGUCUGACGGAGCAACGCCGCGUGAGUGAUGACGGCCUUCGGGUUGUAAAGCUCUGUGAUCGGGGACGAAUGGCUGGUAUGCUAAUACCAUAUCAGAGUGACGGUACCCGAAUGGCAAGCCACGGCUAACUACGUGCCAGCAGCCGCGGUAAUACGUAGGUGGCAAGCGUUGUCCGGAAUUAUUGGGCGUAAAGCGCGCGCAGGCGGCUUCUUAAGUCCAUCUUAAAAGUGCGGGGCUUAACCCCGUGAUGGGAUGGAAACUGGGAGGCUGGAGUAUCGGAGAGGAAAGUGGAAUUCCUAGUGUAGCGGUGAAAUGCGUAGAGAUUAGGAAGAACACCGGUGGCGAAGGCGACUUU